CGGGACACGUGGUAUCCUGUCUGAAUAUGGGGGGACCAUCCUCCAAGGCUAAAUACUCCUGACUGACCGAUAGUGAACCAGUACCGUGAGGGAAAGGCGAAAAGAACCCCGGCGAGGGGAGUGAAAAAGAACCUGAAACCGUGUACGUACAAGCAGUGGGAGCACGCUUAGGCGUGUGACUGCGUACCUUUUGUAUAAUGGGUCAGCGACUUAUAUUCUGUAGCAAGGUUAACCGAAUAGGGGAGCCGAAGGGAAACCGAGUCUUAACUGGGCGUUAAGUUGCAGGGUAUAGACCCGAAACCCGGUGAUCUAGCCAUGGGCAGGUUGAAGGUUGGGUAACACUAACUGGAGGACCGAACCGACUAAUGUUGAAAAAUUAGCGGAUGACUUGUGGCUGGGGGUGAAAGGCCAAUCAAACCGGGAGAUAGCUGGUUCUCCCCGAAAGCUAUUUAGGUAGCGCCUCGUGAAUUCAUCUCCGGGGGUAGAGCACUGUUUCGGCAAGGGGGUCAUCCCGACUUACCAACCCGAUGCAAACUGCGAAUACCGGAGAAUGUUAUCACGGGAGACACACGGCGGGUGCUAACGUCCGUCGUGAAGAGGGAAACAACCCAGACCGCCAGCUAAGGUCCCAAAGUCAUGGUUAAGUGGGAAACGAUGUGGGAAGGCCCAGACAGCCAGGAUGUUGGCUUAGAAGCAGCCAUCAUUUAAAGAAAGCGUAAUAGCUCACUGGUCGAGUCGGCCUGCGCGGAAGAUGUAACGGGGCUAAACCAUGCACCGAAGCUGCGGCAGCGACGCUGAUGCGUUGUUGGGUAGGGGAGCGUUCUGUAAGCCUGUGAAGGUGUGCUGUGAGGCAUGCUGGAGGUAUCAGAAGUGCGAAUGCUGACAUAAGUAACGAUAAAGCGGGUGAAAAGCCCGCUCGCCGGAAGACCAAGGGUUCCUGUCCAACGUUAAUCGGGGCAGGGUGAGUCGACCCCUAAGGCGAGGCCGAAAGGCGUAGUCGAUGGGAAACAGGUUAAUAUUCCUGUACUUGGUGUUACUGCGAAGGGGGGACGGAGAAGGCUAUGUUGGCCGGGCGACGGUUGUCCCGGUUUAAGCGUGUAGGCUGGUUUUCCAGGCAAAUCCGGAAAAUCAAGGCUGAGGCGUGAUGACGAGGCACUACGGUGCUGAAGCAACAAAUGCCCUGCUUCCAGGAAAAGCCUCUAAGCAUCAGGUAACAUCAAAUCGUACCCCAAACCGACACAGGUGGUCAGGUAGAGAAUACCAAGGCGCUUGAGAGAACUCGGGUGAAGGAACUAGGCAAAAUGGUGCCGUAACUUCGGGAGAAGGCACGCUGAUAUGUAGGUGAAGCGACUUGCUCGUGGAGCUGAAAUCAGUCGAAGAUACCAGCUGGCUGCAACUGUUUAUUAAAAACACAGCACUGUGCAAACACGAAAGUGGACGUAUACGGUGUGACGCCUGCCCGGUGCCGGAAGGUUAAUUGAUGGGGUCAGCGCAAGCGAAGCUCUUGAUCGAAGCCCCGGUAAACGGCGGCCGUAACUAUAACGGUCCUAAGGUAGCGAAAUUCCUUGUCGGGUAAGUUCCGACCUGCACGAAUGGCGUAAUGAUGGCCAGGCUGUCUCCACCCGAGACUCAGUGAAAUUGAACUCGCUGUGAAGAUGCAGUGUACCCGCGGCAAGACGGAAAGACCCCGUGAACCUUUACUAUAGCUUGACACUGAACAUUGAGCCUUGAUGUGUAGGAUAGGUGGGAGGCUUUGAAGUGUGGACGCCAGUCUGCAUGGAGCCGGCCUUGAAAUACCACCCUUUAAUGUUUGAUGUUCUAACGUUGACCCGUGAUCCGGGUUGCGGACAGUGUCUGGUGGGUAGUUUGACUGGGGCGGUCUCCUCCUAAAGAGUAACGGAGGAGCACGAAGGUUGGCUAAUCCUGGUCGGACAUCAGGAGGUUAGUGCAAUGGCAUAAGCCAGCUUGACUGCGAGCGUGACGGCGCGAGCAGGUGCGAAAGCAGGUCAUAGUGAUCCGGUGGUUCUGAAUGGAAGGGCCAUCGCUCAACGGAUAAAAGGUACUCCGGGGAUAACAGGCUGAUACCGCCCAAGAGUUCAUAUCGACGGCGGUGUUUGGCACCUCGAUGUCGGCUCAUCACAUCCUGGGGCUGAAGUAGGUCCCAAGGGUAUGGCUGUUCGCCAUUUAAAGUGGUACGCGAGCUGGGUUUAGAACGUCGUGAGACAGUUCGGUCCCUAUCUGCCGUGGGCGCUGGAGAACUGAGGGGGGCUGCUCCUAGUACGAGAGGACCGGAGUGGACGCAUCACUGGUGUUCGGGUUGUCAUGCCAAUGGCACUGCCCGGUAGCUAAAUGCGGAAGAGAUAAGUGCUGAAAGCAUCUAAGCACGAAACUUGCCCCGAGAUGAGUUCUCCCUGACUCCUUGAGAGUCCUGAAGGAACGUUGAAGACGACGACGU
Molecule: ribosomal RNA, 2455 nt
Filed under: Escherichia coli
Lineage: Bacteria; Pseudomonadati; Pseudomonadota; Gammaproteobacteria; Enterobacterales; Enterobacteriaceae
Description: partial 23S ribosomal RNA
Rfam family: Bacterial large subunit ribosomal RNA
Source: RNAcentral